RNAcentral lists this ribosomal RNA (439 nucleotides) under uncultured bacterium. RNAcentral describes it as "partial 16S ribosomal RNA". It matches the Rfam family "Bacterial small subunit ribosomal RNA", at positions 339 to 795 of the family's 1533-position model. The record is from RNAcentral.
CUACGGGCGGCUGCAGUAGGGAAUAUUGCACAAUGGGGGGAACCCUGAUGCAGCAACGCCGCGUGGAGGAUGACGCAUUUCGGUGUGUAAACUCCUUUUAUAUGUCAAGAAAAUGACGGUAGCAUAUGAAUAAGCACCGGCUAACUCCGUGCCAGCAGCCGCGGUAAUACGGAGGGUGCAAGCGUUACUCGGAAUCACUGGGCGUAAAGGACGCGUAGGCGGGUUGGAAAGUCAGGUGUGAAAUCCUACAGCUUAACUGUAGAACUGCACUUGAAACUUCUAAUCUAGAGUAUGGGAGGGGGAGAUGGAAUUCGUGGUGUAGGGGUAAAAUCCGUAGAUAUCACUAGGAAUACCUAAAGCGAAGGCGAUCUCCUGGAACAUUACUGACGCUAAGGCGUGAAAGCGUGGGGAGCAAACAGGAUUAGAUACCCGUGUAGUC